AAGCCGCGUCUUAGGCUCUGUGACGCGCCACCGUCGCGCUGCUGUGCUGUCGACGACGCGUGUCCCCGGCCGGCGUCGGAAGCCCCGCCAGGAGUUAUUGGAUCCUCUGAACACCAUCCCUGCAUCUCAGAUUAAAAAUCUGUAUUCUCAUCUGAACUGUGGGAAGAAAGGAUAGUUGGUCGGUGGUAUUCCUACUUGAAGGACACGAUGUUUUCCAGACUAGCUCAUCUGCAGACCAUUGCUGUGCUUCGUCGUGGAGUUCAUUCCUCAGUGGCUUCUGCUACGUCUGUUGCGACUAAAAAGACAAUCCAAGGCCCUCCAUCUUCCGAUUACAUUUUUGAGCGAGAAUCUAAA
Non-coding RNA from Leptonychotes weddellii (Weddell seal), 354 nucleotides. The record is from RefSeq and is a predicted model, not a curated record. Lineage: Eukaryota; Metazoa; Chordata; Mammalia; Carnivora; Phocidae.